UACACGCCAUACAUACGGGGAGUUUUUUUGUUUUGUUUUUUUUGUUGCUUUUUUGUUUCCUUGUUUGUUUUCGUUCGAGAUGUUCCGAAAUAAUUCACAGAAAAAAAGGGA
This 111-nucleotide non-coding RNA is filed under the name Porphyridium aerugineum. Lineage: Eukaryota; Rhodophyta; Bangiophyceae; Porphyridiales; Porphyridiaceae. The record is from RNAcentral.